This 465-nucleotide ribosomal RNA is filed under the name uncultured bacterium. RNAcentral describes it as "bacterial SSU rRNA". It matches the Rfam family "Bacterial small subunit ribosomal RNA", at positions 330 to 792 of the family's 1533-position model. The record is from RNAcentral.
GCCAGACUCCUACGGGAGGCAGCAGUGAGGAAUAUUGGUCAAUGGACGCAAGUCUGAACCAGCCAUGCCGCGUGCAGGAUGACGGCUCUAUGAGUUGUAAACUGCUUUUGUACGAGGGUAAACCCCGAUACGUGUAUCGGGUUGAAAGUAUCGUACGAAUAAGGAUCGGCUAACUCCGUGCCAGCAGCCGCGGUAAUACGGAGGAUCCGAGCGUUAUCCGGAUUUAUUGGGUUUAAAGGGUGCGUAGGCGGUUUGAUAAGUUAGAGGUGAAAUGUCGGGGCUCAACCCCGAAACUGCCUCUAAUACUGUUGGACUAGAGAAUAGUUGCGGUAGGCGGAAUGUAUGGUGUAGCGGUGAAAUGCUUAGAGAUCAUACAGAACACCGAUUGCGAAGGCAUCUGACGAAUCGGAGAUUGACGCUGAUGCACGAAAGCGUGGGUAUCGAACAGGAUUAGAUACCCCUGUA